RNAcentral lists this unclassified non-coding RNA (25 nucleotides) under Mus musculus (house mouse). Its description in RNAcentral is "oocyte_clustered_small_RNA11155". The record is from RNAcentral. Lineage: Eukaryota; Metazoa; Chordata; Mammalia; Rodentia; Muridae.
UGACUGUGAGCUCAGCUAGAAUCCC